This 497-nucleotide ribosomal RNA is filed under the name uncultured bacterium. RNAcentral describes it as "partial 16S ribosomal RNA". It matches the Rfam family "Bacterial small subunit ribosomal RNA", at positions 28 to 507 of the family's 1533-position model. The record is from RNAcentral.
GAUGAACGCUGGCGGCGUGCCUAAUACAUGCAAGUCGAGCGAACGGACGAGAAGCUUGCUUCUCUGAUGUUAGCGGCGGACGGGUGAGUAACACGUGGAUAACCUACCUAUAAGACUGGGAUAACUUCGGGAAACCGGAGCUAAUACCGGAUAAUAUUUUGAACCGCAUGGUUCAAAAGUGAAAGACGGUCUUGCUGUCACUUAUAGAUGGAUCCGCGCUGCAUUAGCUAGUUGGUAAGGUAACGGCUUACCAAGGCAACGAUGCAUAUCCGACCUGAGAGGGUGAUCGGCCACACUGGAACUGAGACACGGUCCAGACUCCUACGGGAGGCAGCAGUAGGGAAUCUUCCGCAAUGGGCGAAAGCCUGACGGAGCACCGCCGCGUGAGUGAUGAAGGUCUUCGGAUCGUAAAACUCUGUUAUUAGGGAAGAACAUAUGUGUAAGUAACUGUGCACAUCUUGACGGUACCUAAUCAGAAAGCCACGGCUAACUACGUG